GGUAACCUGCCCAUCAGAAGGGGAUAACACUUGGAAACAGGUGCUAAUACCGUAUAACAAUCGAAACCGCAUGGUUUUGAUUUGAAAGGCGCUUUCGGGUGUCGCUGAUGGAUGGACCCGCGGUGCAUUAGCUAGUUGGUGAGGUAACGGCUCACCAAGGCCACGAUGCAUAGCCGACCUGAGAGGGUGAUCGGCCACAUUGGGACUGAGACACGGCCCAAACUCCUACGGGAGGCAGCAGUAGGGAAUCUUCGGCAAUGGACGAAAGUCUGACCGAGCAACGCCGCGUGAGUGAAGAAGGUUUUCGGAUCGUAAAACUCUGUUGUUAGAGAAGAACAAGGAUGAGAGUAACUGUUCAUCCCUUGACGGUAUCUAACCAGAAAGCCACGGCUAACUACGUGCCAGCAGCCGCGGUAAUACGUAGGUGGCAAGCGUUGUCCGGAUUUAUUGGGCGUAAAGCGAGCGCAGGCGGUUUCUUAAGUCUGAUGUGAAAGCCCCCGGCUCAACCGGGGAGGGUCAUUGGAAACUGGGAGACUUGAGUGCAGAAGAGGAGAGUGGAAUUCCAUGUGUAGCGGUGAAAUGCGUAGAUAUAUGGAGGAACACCAGUGGCGAAGGCGGCUCUCUGGUCUGUAACUGACGCUGAGGCUCGAAAGCGUGGGGAGCAAACAGGAUUAGAUACCCUGGUAGUCCACGCCGUAAACGAUGAGUGCUAAGUGUUGGAGGGUUUCCGCCCUUCAGUGCUGCAGCUAACGCAUUAAGCACUCCGCCUGGGGAGUACGACCGCAAGGUUGAAACUCAAAGGAAUUGACGGGGGCCCGCACAAGCGGUGGAGCAUGUGGUUUAAUUCGAAGCAACGCGAAGAACCUUACCAGGUCUUGACAUCCUUUGACCACUCUAGAGAUAGAGCUUCCCCUUCGGGGGCAAAGUGACAGGUGGGUGCAUGGUUUGUCGUCAGCUCCGUGUCGUGAGAUGUUGGGUUAAGUCCCGCAACGAGCGCAACCCUUAUUGUUAGUUGCC
This 1017-nucleotide ribosomal RNA is filed under the name Enterococcus hirae. RNAcentral describes it as "bacterial SSU rRNA". It matches the Rfam family "Bacterial small subunit ribosomal RNA", at positions 120 to 1119 of the family's 1533-position model. Lineage: Bacteria; Bacillati; Bacillota; Bacilli; Lactobacillales; Enterococcaceae. The record is from RNAcentral.